RNAcentral lists this unclassified non-coding RNA (1772 nucleotides) under uncultured fungus. RNAcentral's name for it is "sequence contains 18S rRNA gene, ITS1, 5.8S rRNA gene, ITS2, 28S rRNA gene". The stretch from base 498 to 1772 matches the Rfam family "Eukaryotic large subunit ribosomal RNA", at positions 1 to 1405 of the family's 3401-position model. Lineage: Eukaryota; Fungi. The record is from RNAcentral.
GGAAGGAUCAUUAAAAGGUUUAUCUAGGGGUGGGUGAAACCCCCCUAGGAAACUCCACCCUUGUGUAUUAUUACUUGUUGCUUUGGUGGGCCGCGAGAUUGCCUAGCGAUUGAGCACCGGCUUCGGCUGGAGAGCGCCUGCCAGAGGACCAAACUCUGUUAUUUUAUGUCGUCUGAGUACUAUUUAAUAGUUAAAACUUUCAACAACGGAUCUCUUGGUUCUGGCAUCGAUGAAGAACGCAGCGAAAUGCGAUAAGUAAUGUGAAUUGCAGAAUUCAGUGAAUCAUCGAAUCUUUGAACGCACAUUGCGCCCCUUGGUAUUCCGAGGGGCAUGCCUGUUCGAGCGUCAUUAUAACCAAUCACGCCCUGUGCGUGGACUUGGGGUUCGCGGUCUCGCGUCCCUUAAAGUUAGUGGCGGUGCUGUUAGGCUCUAAGCGUAGUAAUUCUUCUCGCUAUAGGGUCUUGCGGUUACUUGCCAUAACCCCAACUUUCUUAGGUUGACCUCGGAUCAGGUAGGGAUACCCGCUGAACUUAAGCAUAUCAAUAAGCGGAGGAAAAGAAACCAACAGGGAUUACCUCAGUAACGGCGAGUGAAGCGGUAACAGCUCAAAUUUGAAAUCUGGCUCUCUCAGGGUCCGAGUUGUAAUUUGUAGAAGAUGCUUUGGGUGUGGCUCCGGUCUAAGUUCCUUGGAACAGGACGUCAUAGAGGGUGAGAAUCCCGUAUGUGACUGGUGGCCUUCGCCCGUGUAAAGCUCUUUCGACGAGUCGAGUUGUUUGGGAAUGCAGCUCAAAAUGGGUGGUAUAUUUCAUCUAAAGCUAAAUAUUGGCCAGAGACCGAUAGCGCACAAGUAGAGUGAUCGAAAGAUGAAAAGCACUUUGGAAAGAGAGUUAAACAGUACGUGAAAUUGUUGAAAGGGAAGCGCUUGCAACCAGACUUGCGGGUCGUUGAUCAUCCGGGGUUCUCCCCGGUGCACUCGGCGGCUCUCAGGCCAGCAUCGGUUUGGGUGGUGGGAUAAAGGCCUUGGGAAUGUGGCUCUCUUCGGGGAGUGUUAUAGCCCAAGGUGCAAUGCCGCCUACCUGGACCGAGGACCGCGCUUCGGCUAGGAUGCUGGCGUAAUGGUUGUAAGCGACCCGUCUUGAAACACGGACCAAGGAGUCUAACAUCUAUGCGAGUGUUUGGGUGUCAAACCCAUACGCGUAAUUAACGUGAACGGAGGUAUGAACCCUUAAGGGUGCAAUAUCGACCGAUCCUGAUGUCUUCGGAUGGAUUUGAGUAAGAGCAUAGCUGUUGGGACCCGAAAGAUGGUGAACUAUGCCUGAAUAGGGUGAAGCCAGAGGAAACUCUGGUGGAGGCUCGCAGCGGUUCUGACGUGCAAAUCGAUCGUCAAAUUUGGGUAUAGGGGCGAAAGACUAAUCGAACCAUUAAGGACACUACUAGGUGGUUUAGAGGCCGCUGAGACGGCGUGCCUAGUCCCGCAAGGGGCGACAUUGUCAAAUUGUUCGGGGACAUCCUGUAAGUCUCACGCUACCGCAGCAGUGCUGAAAAGCCUGCGCGCACCGGGUUAACGACCCUGGGGACGGUAAUAACGCGUGGGUAGGGACGAUCCGCAGCCAGCCCCUAAGGCCUUAUAAGGCUACGGGGAGGGUUCACAGACUUAACGACAGUGGGCUCUCAGAGCUUAAGAUAAAGUCGAACCCCCGGGAGACCGGGCGGCGGUUAGCAGCCGCCGGGGCCUCUACAGGCCUGGGUAAAAGCUAGUAGCUGGUUCCUGC